UUUUAUGGAGAGUUUGAUCCUGGCUCAGGACGAACGCUGGCGGCGUGCCUAAUACAUGCAAGUCGAGCGAAUGACGAGAAGCUUGCUUCUCUGAUUUAGCGGCGGACGGGUGAGUAACACGUGGGCAACCUGCCCUGUAGACUGGGAUAACUUCGGGAAACCGGAGCUAAUACCGGAUAAUUCUUUUAGCCUC
RNAcentral lists this ribosomal RNA (193 nucleotides) under Candidatus Kurthia intestinigallinarum. RNAcentral describes it as "Kurthia sp. 3B1D partial 16S ribosomal RNA". It matches the Rfam family "Bacterial small subunit ribosomal RNA", at positions 1 to 189 of the family's 1533-position model. Lineage: Bacteria; Bacillati; Bacillota; Bacilli; Caryophanales; Caryophanaceae. The record is from RNAcentral.